CUUCCCUCACCUUCGCCUUCCCCCUCUCCUGGCUCCGCCCCCGGCGCAGGCCCCACCCCCAGCCUUAACCUCCCCCCCCCCCCCCAGACAAACCCUGCGCCCGAGAGCCUAGGGCCCCCAUUACCUCCCUUACCCUUUUUCCUCACUAACUGCCCCUUCAGUCCCUCCUCCCCAUCUUCUCUCGCCCCUCCCGCACCCACCCAUCCCCUCUUCCAGGCCCCCCCCCAGGCGCGAGGCGGAAAUGGGUCACCGACCCGCGGGUGGAAUGGGCGGCCUGGGGUUACUGGGACGACGUCCGAGCUUCCAGCACCGGCUUCCAGCCUAGAGCUCUCCUCGAGCUGACCGAGGGUCUCCACCGCCUCCCACCCCCACUCCUUUCUCCCCUCCCCA
Lynx canadensis (Canada lynx) is the source of this 390-nucleotide long non-coding RNA. RefSeq lists it as uncharacterized. The record is from RefSeq and is a predicted model, not a curated record. The transcript is spliced from 2 exons. Lineage: Eukaryota; Metazoa; Chordata; Mammalia; Carnivora; Felidae.